Molecule: ribosomal RNA, 164 nt
Filed under: uncultured bacterium
Lineage: Bacteria
Description: partial 16S rRNA
Rfam family: Bacterial small subunit ribosomal RNA
Source: RNAcentral
UAGGGAAUCUUCCACAGUGGACGAAAGUCUGAUGGAGCAACGCCGCGUGAGUGAAGAAGGGUUUCGGCUCGUAAAACUCUGUUGUUAAAGAAGAACAUAUCUGAGAGUAACUGUUCAGGUAUUGACGGUAUUUAACCAGAAAGCCACGGCUAACUACGUGCCAA